RNAcentral lists this ribosomal RNA (376 nucleotides) under uncultured organism. RNAcentral's name for it is "partial 16S ribosomal RNA". It matches the Rfam family "Bacterial small subunit ribosomal RNA", at positions 525 to 896 of the family's 1533-position model. The record is from RNAcentral.
CGGGGGGGGGCAAGCGUUGUUCGGAAUUACUGGGCGUAAAGGGCGCGCAGGCGGGCGGGAAAGGUCUCUCGUGAAAUCCCACGGGCUCAACCGUGGAACUGCGGGAGAUACUACUCGUCUUGAGUUCGGGAGAGGAGUGUGGAAUUCCCAGUGUAGCGGUGAAAUGCGUAGAUAUUGGGAGGAACACCGGUGGCGAAGGCGGCACUCUGGACCGAUACUGACGCUGAGGCGCGAAAGCUAGGGGAGCAAACGGGAUUAGAUACCCCGGUAGUCCUAGCUGUAAACGCUGAGCACUUGGUGUAGCGGGUAUCGACCCCUGCUGUGCCGAAGCUAACGCAUUAAGUGCUCCGCCUGGGGAGUACGGUCGCAAAGGCUG